AGGAGGCUGUUGUCCGGCCGCUGACCCUCCCCCCCUCUCCCUAACCCUACCCUUGCCAAAGAUCCCUUCCUCUCUGGCAAGGGCAGGGUUAGGGAGAGAGAACCCCUUGUCUGCCCUAAUUCUCAAGAGUCCUGUUCUGUAGACUCAGUGAAUCCCCAAGACGUCGACAUCCUCCUCCUUGAGUAAUAUCCUGCUCCCCAAUUCACUGAUUGGUGUGUGUGUGUGUGUGUGUUACACUCACUUUUUCUUUCCAUUAUAAAUAACAGGUACUCCAGCAGGAGGAGGGAGUGCCCCGUCUCUCUGCUGAGAAGGAACAGCUGAAGCAGCAGGACCAGAAGAAGGACGAGCAGGUGUCCCGUCUGCAGCAAGAGGUGCAAGAGCUGAAGGCACAAGUGUCCCUACUUCUCUCCGCUGAGAAUCAAUGGCUGAAGCAACAGAGCCAAGAGAAGAACGAGGAGGAGACGUCCCGUCUGCUUCAAGAGCUGGAGGGUCAAGGGUCUCCUCUGCAGCAGGAGGUGCAGGAUCUGAAGGCACAAGUGUCCUGUCUCUCUGAUCAGAACAAAGGCCUGAAGGAGCAAGUGUCCCGUCUCUCCGCUGAGAACCAACAGCUGAAGCAACAGUUCCAAGAAAGGGACAAGCAGGUGUCCCGUCUGCUUCAAGCGGUGCAAGAGCUGGAGGGGGAAGUGUCUCACCUGCAGCAGCAAAACCAGAGGAAGGAUGAGCAGAUGUCUCACCUGCAGCAGGAGGUGCAGGAGCACAAGAAGGGUCCCGAAGCCUCUGGAGCCCAGCAAACCACCAGAUGGCUUUCAUGGGUCCGAAGCCAGAUUCUUCCUGCCAAAGUCCAGAUCCGGAUCACUGGGAAGACAGGUGGCUCUGAGGAGAAGUUUCUAAAUUGUGUUUCAGAGCACCUGUCCCACAAAGGAGUCUCUCUGAAGGUGGAGAAGUUUAAGGAGACCUCGAAGGACCCCCUUCUGCUCUUCUGCCCCAUAGCUUCCCGCAUGGGCGCCGACAUCGAAAAUGCCCUUGAGGGGCUCAGUGGUGAGCAGAAGGUCCUCCUGGUGGUGAUGCACUUUGUUCAAAAGGACAACCCAGGGACCCCUGCGGACGCUGAGCACCAAGUGACCCAUCCGGCCGUGGUGGGGACCGUGCACACCCGCUACACCCUCAAGGACGGCUUCUACCCUUGUGAGAUGAACGAGGCGGCCGUGGCUGACGUGGCAGCUGCCCUCAAGGCCCUGGCUGAGGAUCAGUGA
Molecule: long non-coding RNA, 1253 nt
Filed under: Pogona vitticeps (central bearded dragon)
Lineage: Eukaryota; Metazoa; Chordata; Lepidosauria; Squamata; Agamidae
Description: lncRNA (ENSPVIG00000002477.1)
Source: RNAcentral